GGAAUAUUGGUCAAUGGCCGGAAGGCUGAACCAGCCAAGUCGCGUGAGGGAAUAAGGCCCUACGGGUCGUAAACCUCUUUUGUCGGGGAGCAAAUUCCGCCACGUGUGGCGGAGUCGAGAGUACCCGAAGAAAAAGCAUCGGCUAACUCCGUUCCAGCAGCCGCGGUAAUACGGAGGAUGCGAGCGUUAUCCGGAUUUAUUGGGUUUAAAGGGUGCGUAGGCGGACUGUCAAGUCAGCGGUAAAAUACGGGGGCUCAACCUCCGCCCGCCGUUGAAACUGACGGUCUUGAGUGGGCGAGAAGUAUGCGGAAUGCGUGGUGUAGCGGUGAAAUGCAUAGAUAUCACGCAGAACCCCGAUUGCGAAGGCAGCAUACCGGCGCCCUACUGACGCUGAGGCACGAAAGUGCGGGGAUCAAA
Molecule: ribosomal RNA, 417 nt
Filed under: uncultured bacterium
Lineage: Bacteria
Description: bacterial SSU rRNA
Rfam family: Bacterial small subunit ribosomal RNA
Source: RNAcentral